RNAcentral lists this ribosomal RNA (382 nucleotides) under uncultured bacterium. RNAcentral's name for it is "bacterial SSU rRNA". It matches the Rfam family "Bacterial small subunit ribosomal RNA", at positions 1029 to 1401 of the family's 1533-position model. The record is from RNAcentral.
GUUAUACAGGUGUUGCAUGGCUGUUGUCAGCUCGUGCCGUGAGGUGUUUGGAUAAGUCCUUUAACGAGCGCAACUCUUUUGUUAUGAUGGUAAUUUUUUAGAUAAAUCUNNNNNNNCCACUAAUAAAAUCAUGCUAGUGAUAAACUAGAGGAAGGUGAGAAUGACGUCAAGCCCUUAUGGCCCUUAUGGACUGGGCUACACACGUGGGGCAAUGGUAAUUACAAAAAGUUAUACAAUAAAGUUAUUUGGAGUAAAUCUUUAAAAAUUUCCGUAUUCGGAUUGUAGACUGCCACUCGUCUACAGAAGGUGGAAUCACAAGUAAUUGUGGAUCAGCUCGAUACGGUGAAUUUGAACAAAGACGUAGUACACGCCACCCGUCACA